This 84-nucleotide transfer RNA is filed under the name Candidatus Izimoplasma sp. HR1. RNAcentral's name for it is "Candidatus Izimaplasma sp. HR1 tRNA". It matches the Rfam family "tRNA". Rfam says of the family: Transfer RNA (tRNA) molecules are approximately 80 nucleotides in length. Lineage: Bacteria; Bacillati; Mycoplasmatota; Mollicutes; Candidatus Izemoplasmatales; Candidatus Izemoplasmataceae. The record is from Rfam by way of RNAcentral.
GCCUGGGUGGCGGAAUUGGUAGACGCGUUGGACUUAAAAUCCAAUGUCAGCAAUGACGUGCCGGUUCGACUCCGGCCCUAGGUA